GAUGAACGCUGGCGGCGUGCCUAACACAUGCAAGUCGAACGGAGUCCAGCCUUUAAGACCUUCGGGUCAAAGAGGGGAAGACUGAGUGGCGGACGGGUGAGUAACACGUGGGCAACCUGGCUCAUAGAGGGGGAUAACAGAGAGAAAUUUCUGCUAAUACCGCAUAAGCACACACUGCCGCAUGGCAGAGGGUGAAAAGAGAAUCGCUAUGAGAUGGACCCGCGUCUGAUUAGCCAGUUGGCAGGGUAAGAGCCUACCAAAGCGACGAUCAGUAGCCGAGCUGAGAGGAUGAACGGCCACAUUGGGACUGAGACACGGCCCAAACUCCUACGGGAGGCAGCAGUGGGGGAUAUUGCACAAUGGGGGGAACCCUGAUGCAGCGACGCCGCGUGAGUGAAGAAGUAUUUCGGUAUGUAAAGCUCUAUCAGCAGGGAAGAUAAUGACAGUACCUGAAUAAGAAGCCCCGGCUAACUACGUG
This 478-nucleotide ribosomal RNA is filed under the name uncultured bacterium. RNAcentral describes it as "partial 16S ribosomal RNA". It matches the Rfam family "Bacterial small subunit ribosomal RNA", at positions 28 to 507 of the family's 1533-position model. The record is from RNAcentral.